RNAcentral lists this ribosomal RNA (133 nucleotides) under uncultured bacterium. RNAcentral's name for it is "partial 16S ribosomal RNA". The record is from RNAcentral.
GGAGUUAGCCGGGGUUUCGUUUACCAGGUACUGUCAUUAUCAUCCCUGGCGAAAGAGCUUUACGAUCCUAAGACCUUCAUCACUCACGCGGCAUGGCUAGAUCAGGCUUUCGCCCAUUGUCUAAGAUUCCCCA